Molecule: ribosomal RNA, 377 nt
Filed under: uncultured bacterium
Lineage: Bacteria
Description: bacterial SSU rRNA
Rfam family: Bacterial small subunit ribosomal RNA
Source: RNAcentral
AUACGUAGGUGGCGAGCGUUGUCCGGAUUUACUGGGCGUAAAGAGCCCGCAGGCGGCUCGGCAAGUUUCAGGUGAAAUCUCCCGGCUCAACUGGGAGGGGUCCUGGAAAACUGCUGGGCUAGAGGCAGGGAGAGGGAUGUGGAAUUCCCGGUGUAGUGGUGAAAUGCGUAGAUAUCGGGAGGAACACCAGUGGCGAAGGCGGCAUCCUGGCCCUGUCCUGACGCUGAGGGGCGAAAGCGUGGGGAGCAAACCGGAUUAGAUACCCGGGUAGUCCACGCCGUAAACGAUGAGUACUAGGUGUGGGGGGUAUCGACCCCCUCCGUGCCGAAGCUAACGCGAUAAGUACUCCGCCUGGGGACUACGGCCGCAAGGCUAAA